Molecule: ribosomal RNA, 404 nt
Filed under: uncultured bacterium
Lineage: Bacteria
Description: partial 16S ribosomal RNA
Rfam family: Bacterial small subunit ribosomal RNA
Source: RNAcentral
GAUGAACGCUGACAGAAUGCUUAACACAUGCAAGUCAACUCUGGCAUACAGGUGAGUAACGCGUAAAGAACUUGCCUCACAGUUAGGGACAACAUUUGGAAACGAAUGCUAAUAACUGAUACUGUUAGAGAGCUUUGCGUCCCAUGAGCUAGGUGGAGAGGGAACGGCUCACCAAGGCGAUGAUGGGUAGCCGGCCUGAGAGGGUGAUCGGCCACAAGGGGACUGAGUCACGGCCCUUACUCAUACUUGAGGAAGCGUUGGUGAAUAUUGGACAAUGGACCAAAGUCUGAUGCAGGAUUUCUGUGUGCACGAUGAAGUUUUAGGAAGGUAAAGUGAUUUCAGUUGGUAAGAGGUACCAACAGAAUAGGCGACGGCUAAAUACGUGCCAGCCGCCGCGGUAAUAG